GAAUGAAAAAAUUUUAACUAUCCUUUCUUUCUAUAUGUAUUUAACAGAUAUAGAAAGAAAGAAAAAUGACAUUUAUAUGGUAUAUAAGCUAUUGUCCUUAAAGUUCUUUAUGUUUUAAAGUAAAAAGUUAUUUCUAUAGAAGAUAGAUUUUUUAUAUUUUGGAAUACAAAAAUAGAUUUUAGUUUAAGUUUGGCCAAACUUGUGCCAGCCGCCGCGGUUAUACAAGUAAGCUAAAAUUGUUUGAAUUAUAAGAAAAAAAGUUGUUUUUUGACACUUUUAUUGAAAAGGUGAAAUUUUUUAAUAAAUUUUACUUUUUUGUUUUCUAAAAAUUUUUUAUAUAAACUAGGAUUAGAUACCCUAUUAUAAUAAAAUGUAUAAUGUUGUUUGUAAAUAAAGUUUAUGAAAUCAAAAGAUAGUGGCGGUAUUUUAAGCCUGUUAGAGGAAUUUGCUCUGUAAUUGAUAAAACACCAAAAUCUCACUUAAGUUUGUAAAAACAGUUUGUAUAUCGCCAUUCUUAAGUUAUAUUUAACGAUUAAUAACUGAGAUAAAGUUUUUUUUAAAAUAUUAGGUCAAGAUGCAGUUAAUGCUUAAGGUUGAAGUGAGUUAUGAUAAUAUUUAUUAGGUAAAAUGAAAAAAUUUAUAGGAUUUAAAAGUAAAAAAAAAUUAUAAUGUUUUUUUGAAGAAGGCUCUAAAAUAUGUACAUAUCGCCCGUCACUCUCAAUAUUUAUUGGGAUAAGUCGUAACAUAGUAAGUGUACCGGAAGGUGCACUU
RNAcentral lists this ribosomal RNA (771 nucleotides) under Ogadenus brumpti. Its description in RNAcentral is "12S ribosomal RNA". The record is from RNAcentral. Lineage: Eukaryota; Metazoa; Arthropoda; Arachnida; Ixodida; Argasidae.